Long non-coding RNA from Magnolia sinica, 565 nucleotides. RefSeq lists it as uncharacterized. The record is from RefSeq and is a predicted model, not a curated record. Lineage: Eukaryota; Viridiplantae; Streptophyta; Magnoliopsida; Magnoliales; Magnoliaceae. The transcript has 2 exons.
UUGUACAGAGCACUGGGUAUUGUGUUCUCAUUGCUAGUCUAAGCUAGAAUAUAAAGAAGGAUGGUUGUGUCAGCCUGUCAGGUUCGGGGGCUCCCUUGUGCCCAUAAUUUCCAUGUGGAAUGCAUUGACAAGUGAGUCUGGCUGAAUGUGAAGUGCCCCUGUUGCCGCUACUCUGUCUUCCCUAACCUCGAUCUUAGCACCCUCUUCAACCUUCACGCUGACUCUAGGCAUCCCUCUGCUAGUGUUUUGACAGCCACACGCUAUAUGCACACACAACCAGCAGGCCAGAGCUACCUGUUGAGGUUGCAGGGCUUGCUACGCACAAUCCAAAUGGAGAAUGCUGGUGGAGGCAAUGAUGACGCUGGCCUAGAAGUAGCAGAAGAUGGACGGGUACUGUUAUCUCAGGGUCCGCCAAGCACGACGGCAUCGGUGAUGAUGGGCGCGACCAUGACUUUGUAUUAUUUGUAGAACCUAAUGUUGUGUAACAGUUUGAUUGAGUUAAACUUUAAAUAGACUGUUGUUAACUGUUUUGUUGGUAUUGUGGCUUUCAUGAUUGAUUGUUUCA